This 1431-nucleotide ribosomal RNA is filed under the name uncultured organism. RNAcentral's name for it is "SSU rRNA". It matches the Rfam family "Bacterial small subunit ribosomal RNA". The record is from RNAcentral.
UUAACACAUGCAAGUCGAGGGGCAUCAGGAAGAAAGCUUGCUUUCUUUGCUGGCGACCGGCGCACGGGUGAGUAACACGUAUCCAACCUGCCCUUUACUCGGGGAUAGCCUUUCGAAAGAAAGAUUAAUACCCGAUAGCAUAAUGAUUCCGCAUGGUUUCAUUAUUAAAGGAUUCCGGUAAAGGAUGGGGAUGCGUUCCAUUAGGUUGUUGGUGAGGUAACGGCCCACCAAGCCUUCGAUGGAUAGGGGUUCUGAGAGGAAGGUCCCCCACAUUGGAACUGAGACACGGUCCAAACUCCUACGGGAGGCAGCAGUGAGGAAUAUUGGUCAAUGGGCGCUAGCCUGAACCAGCCAAGUAGCGUGAAGGAUGAAGGCUCUAUGGGUCGUAAACUUCUUUUAUAUAAGAAUAAAGUGCAGUAUGUAUACUGUUUUGUAUGUAUUAUAUGAAUAAGGAUCGGCUAACUCCGUGCCAGCAGCCGCGGUAAUACGGAGGAUCCGAGCGUUAUCCGGAUUUAUUGGGUUUAAAGGGAGCGUAGGUGGACUGGUAAGUCAGUUGUGAAAGUUUGCGGCUCAACCGUAAAAUUGCAGUUGAUACUGUCAGUCUUGAGUACAGUAGAGGUGGGCGGAAUUCGUGGUGUAGCGGUGAAAUGCUUAGAUAUCACGAAGAACUCCGAUUGCGAAGGCAGCUCACUGGACUGCAACUGACACUGAUGCUCGAAAGUGUGGGUAUCAAACAGGAUUAGAUACCCUGGUAGUCCACACAGUAAACGAUGAAUACUCGCUGUUUGCGAUAUACAGUAAGCGGCCAAGCGAAAGCAUUAAGUAUUCCACCUGGGGAGUACGCCGGCAACGGUGAAACUCAAAGGAAUUGACGGGGGCCCGCACAAGCGGAGGAACAUGUGGUUUAAUUCGAUGAUACGCGAGGAACCUUACCCGGGCUUAAAUUGCAGUGGAAUGAUGUGGAAACAUGUCAGUGAGCAAUCACCGCUGUGAAGGUGCUGCAUGGUUGUCGUCAGCUCGUGCCGUGAGGUGUCGGCUUAAGUGCCAUAACGAGCGCAACCCUUAUCUUUAGUUACUAACAGGUUAUGCUGAGGACUCUAGAGAGACUGCCGUCGUAAGAUGUGAGGAAGGUGGGGAUGACGUCAAAUCAGCACGGCCCUUACGUCCGGGGCUACACACGUGUUACAAUGGGGGGUACAGAAGGCAGCUAGCGGGUGACCGUAUGCUAAUCCCAAAAUCCUCUCUCAGUUCGGAUCGAAGUCUGCAACCCGACUUCGUGAAGCUGGAUUCGCUAGUAAUCGCGCAUCAGCCACGGCGCGGUGAAUACGUUCCCGGGCCUUGUACACACCGCCCGUCAAGCCAUGGGAGCCGGGGGUACCUGAAGUACGUAACCGCAAGGAUCGUCCUAGGGUAAAACUGGUGACUGGGGCU